Molecule: long non-coding RNA, 362 nt
Organism: Arvicola amphibius (Eurasian water vole)
Lineage: Eukaryota; Metazoa; Chordata; Mammalia; Rodentia; Cricetidae
Exons: 2
Source: RefSeq, a predicted model, not a curated record
UGAGCUCCAUCGUGAGGAAGCAAACUUAGAACAGUGUGUUUCGCCCGCUACAAACAGUGCCCAGGAAGCUCUGUGACCAAGAUCCAGGAAACCCAUUGCUUCACCAUCCACCCCCACGACUGGGUCAGACACCUGAACAUGCCCAGAUGAGCGUUCCUGUGAUCGCAUGAACUGAAGGCCCAACCGGAUAUGAACAAGAUGAAGACCCUGUUGUCAGGUGACUUUGAGAGGAAGGAAUGAGGCGAUGAAGACCUGCCUCAUUGUUCAUCAGAUGUCCUACCUGAAGAGCCGCGUUCAGUUCUCAGAAACAGCAGGGUAGAAGAAGAGAACCAACUUCCGAAUAAAUUGUCCUCUGAUCUCCA